Molecule: long non-coding RNA, 541 nt
Organism: Brassica oleracea var. oleracea
Lineage: Eukaryota; Viridiplantae; Streptophyta; Magnoliopsida; Brassicales; Brassicaceae
Exons: 2
Source: RefSeq, a predicted model, not a curated record
UGUUCAAAAUGUUCACAAGCAAAGAAGCAUGGUGGGGAGAGCUACUGAUCUAUCCCGACUAAGUGGAUACAAUGAUCUCCUUACCGAGCUUGAACGCCUGUUUAACAUGGAAGGGCUUCUCAAGGACCCUGAAAAGGAUGGAGGAUGAUGGAGGAUCUUGUACACCGAUAGUGAGGACGAUAUGACGGUCGUGAUGAUCCAUGGCAAUACAUUUAUACACGAAAGAGGAAGUUGAGAAUGCGAGUGAUGAUAACAAGAGCUGUUUAGAACAAGCAGUUCUCAUGAUGGAAGCAUCAAAGUCAUCUUCUAUGACCCAGCCUGAUUAUUCUCCAACGGUUACUACUUACUAGAGUUUGAUAUUAACAAACCAGAAAGAAGUGUUUUUUUUUUUUUUACUUUUUGUGCUUUCAAGUGUGUUUUGCCUACAAAAGACAUAAAAUAUUUUCACCUUGAUCUUUGUCUUUCUCUUUGUUUGAUUGUGUUAUUUCUGGUCUUCGUGUACUUCAAUCUUUUUACUCUUAGAAAGUUUGUGUUUAUGGGA